GUGUAUGUAUGUUGUGUCUACUUGCCCGCCCUUGACUGUACGAGUGUGUGUGUGUGUUUUUAGCACUCCUCAGCUCGUACACUUCUUUUUGACUUUUUUGACUAUUACUGCUCUUAAAUUGCUCGUAAUUCCAAUCUGUCAAUGUCCGCCUAAUCCCGCUUCUAUGUGUCUAGGUGCCGGUGCCCGUCGUCAGUCCCCUCUCUCUCCGUUACUGGACCUGGAUCAGGAUUUGGACCUGGAUCUGGACACCCCUUAUGUUUAUUUUAUGACAUUUUUUAUCCACAACAUUAGAAAAACCACUUUCGUUUGCUUGUUUGCGCCUUCUUGUUCGCUCAAUUGCGUUUUCAGCGCAUAAAGAGCAAAAGUGUGUAAGGGGACACAGGAUGAAUGGGAACUAGUUUUGUUAUUGUACUUUUGAUGAAAAGUCACUUUCUAGACAUAAAAUGUCACUUUUUUCACCUUAUCAUACUUUUUCAUCAACUUUUGCAUUUUAAUGUAAACAAUCAUAUUUCGUAAUAUUUUGGGUCAGAAACAUUUCAUAGUACUAUAUUAUGUCUAACUAUGUGAAAACAAUCAAAUUGGAGUAGGUCGGGCAACUGAUUAUAUGAGUUUGUUAGAAAAACCACUUUCCUUUGCUCCAAGCGCCUUCUCGUUCGCUCUAUAGCGUUUUGAGUGGAUAAAGAGCACAAGUGUGUAAGGAGACACAGGAUGAAUGGGAACUAGUUUUGUUAUUGUACUUUUGAUGAAAAGUCACUUUCAAGACAUAAAAUGUCACUUUUUUCACCUUAUCAUACUUUUUCAUCAACUUUUGCAUUUUAUUGAAAAAAAUCAUAUUUCGUAAUAUUUUGGGUCAGAAACAUUUCAUAGUACUAUAUUAUGUCUAAAUAUGUGAAAAGAAUCAAAUUGGACUAGGUCGGGCAACUGAUUGUAUGAGUUUGUUAGAAAAACCACUUUCCUUUGCUCCUAGCGCCUUCUCGUUCGCUGUAUAGCGUUUUGAGCGGAUAAAGAGCACAAGUGUGUAAGGAGACACAGAAUGAAUGGGAACUAGUUUUGUUAUUGUACUUUUGAUGAAAAGUCACUUUCUAGACAUAAAAUGUCACUUUUUUCACCUUAUAAUACUUUUUCAUCAACUUUUGCAUUUUAUUGUAAACAAUCAUAUUUCGUAAUAUUUUGGGUCAGAAACAUUUCAUAGUACUAUAUUAUGUCUAACUAUGUGAAAAAAAUCAAAUUGGAGUAGGUCGUGCACUUGAUUAUAUGAGUUUGUUAGAAAAACCACUUUCCUUUGCUCCUAGCGCCUUCUCGUUCGCUCUAUUGCGUUUUGAGCGGAUAAAGAGCACAAGUGUGUAAGGAGACACAGGAUGAAUGGGGACUAGUUUUGUUAUUGUACUUUUGAUGAAAAGUGACUUUCUAGACAUAAAAUGUCACUUUUUUCACCUUAUACUUUUUCAUCAACUUUUGCAUUUUAUUGUAAACAAUCAUAUUUCGUAAUAUUUUGGGUCAGAAACAUUCCAUAGUACUAUAUUAUGUCUAAAUAUGUGAAAACAAUCAAAUUGGAGGCGGUCGGGCAACUGAUUAUAUGAGUUUGUUAGAAAAACCACUUUCCUUUGCUCCUAGCGCCUUCUCGUUCGCUCUAUAGCGUUUUCAGCGCAUAAAGAGCACGUGUGUGUAAGGGGACACAGAAUGAAUGGGAUCUAGUUUUGUUAUUGUACUUUUGAUGAAAAGUCACUUUCUAGACAUAAAAUGUCACUUUUUUCACCUUAUAAUACUUUUUCAUCAACUUUUGCAUUUUAAUGUAAACAAUCAUAUUUCGUAAUAUUUUGGGUCAGAAAAAUUUCAUAGUACUAUAUUAUGUCUAACUAUGUGAAAAAAUCAAAUUGGAGUAGGUCGUGCACUUGAUUAUAUGAGUUUGUUAGAAAAACCACUUUCCUUUGCUCCUAGCGCCUUCUCGUUCGCUGUAUAGCGUUUUGAGCGGAUAAAGAGCAUAAGUGUGUAAGGAGACACAGGAUGAAUGGGAACUAGUUUUGUUGUUGUACUUUUGAUGAAAAGUGACUUUCCAGACAUAAAAUGUCACUUUUAUCACCUUAUCAUACUUUUUCAUCAACUUUUGCAUUUUAUUGUAAACACUCAUAUUUCGUAAUAUUUUGGGUCAGAAACAUUUCAUAGUACUAUAUUAUGUCUAAAUAUUUGAAAACAAUCCAAUUGGACUAG
This is a long non-coding RNA of Ictalurus punctatus (channel catfish), 2208 nucleotides long. The record is from Ensembl. Lineage: Eukaryota; Metazoa; Chordata; Actinopteri; Siluriformes; Ictaluridae.